AGUAGCAUACUGGCUCAAAGAGGCAGAGUUGUCCAAAACUUUCCUGCAGAUUAAAAGAAAUUACAACUGGUAAUGAAGCAGAAAGAAUUUAUUAUCAACCAUAGAUAGGAAAAUACAUUAGUGUAAGGAACCUCUAUGUACAGAUCUCUAGAACUAAGAAUACAGAGAACAGAGAGAAAAUAGUUGUUUACCAUUCUUUUCCAGAGAUUUUUUAAAGAGCUGCCUUUUUCAGAUUUUAUUAGAGAUUGAACAUUCAUUGAAUAUUGUGAAAACUUUUUCUUUUUUUUAAAUUAUGGAUGUGUAUCUCUGCUGACUUUAUCUUGAAUGGUAAACAAGAGUUGAUCCCAUGUACUACAUGAUGGCUCAUGAUGGUAUGUAGAGUGUUAGUCACAGAGAAACUACUACAAAAGGACAUUGGCCUCUACGAAACAUAAGUGUUCUGAGGUAAAAAUAAAAAACGGUCCAGCUAAUCUUAUCAAUUUUAUUGCAGAAGGUUUCAGUAUUACAAAACAAAGGCUGGAAACUUUGGACAGCCCUGUUAUAAUAUAAAGGGUAAAGAAGAAAUAAAGCAAGAGGUAAUGAAAAAAAAAUGGAAGGACAGGAAAGAAAGACUUGAUCCAUUAGUUGCACAGUUUCUCAUUAGUUUAAGUAUAGAUGUUGGAGGUGUACUACUAAAAUUAAGAUUUUUUUAUUUUCCAUUUAAUGUCUUUGUCUGGGAAGGAUGAAUUUGAAAAUUUAAACACAAAGGUCUCUGAAUUUAGUUUCCAUUACCAAUAUUACUUUCUAGCACUUUAAGCAGCAAUCGUCAAGUACAAUCACUUAUCACUGAUUGCACCGAUAUCAAGUCAAAUACUUUACCAUACAGUUUAAUUUAAGCGAGACACCAUCUCUGACAACACCUGGUGUCAAACAGCUCUCCAUCACGACAUUAAAUUUCACAAAAAUAGUCUACUAACAAGCAGGACGAUCUACAGAUUUAACAUUAUCGGUCUGUGGGCACCAACUUCGCAUCUUUCUACCAUUUAGUCAGAGAAGCAAAUGUUAUAGGACCAAUAAUCAAUGUUAAUAAUUGUGAAACAGAUCAUUAAACCAAAAUAGACACCAAUAAUGUAGGAGAAUUCAUUAUAUACACAUACACAACACAAUUCAUUUGUUUUGCAGAAAGGAUAUAUGCAAUACACAUUUUAUUCACACUUUACAAAACACUAAUCUCAUUUUUACUUUAAUAACAUUAACAAUUCAUGGUCACUUAAGACAAAACAAAAUGCUGAAGAAUAUUGUGAAGAGGCCCCGAAUAACAAAAGACUGCUCUGGUUCUUACUGCUAAAACAAAGCAAGACGUAAAAGCCAUACUGCUGCAUAGUUCAAAGAAACUGAUUAGUGACAUGUUGAAUGUGUGAUGGUCAUGCUGACAUCAGUUUAGUGAACCAAAAUACAUGAACUACAAAUAGACCACUGCCAGACAUCAUUUGCAAAUCAUAGAGAUGAUAAUUUGGUCCAAAGGCUCCGAACUAAAGGUUUUGGAGAUAGUUUCAAAAAUAAAAAUCCCACAUGGAAGUACCAUAUGAGGAAAAUCUAACUCUUGCAAUUGGCUUCAGAAGAACACAUCAAACUGGCACUACACAGGAAAGAUUAUGGCCAUUUAAUAUGAAUAUGAAAAUUUAAGUGUAUCAGACUUUAAAAUGUUUGGUCCUGUGUUGCAAAAAUUAUAAAUGUUUAGAAAUUUGGAAUAAAAUGCGGAUAACUAUAGAUCAAAACAUUCUUAGUACCGGAUAUCUAAAGACUCUUCGAGCUCAGAAAGAUGAAGAUACAUUGAUAGCAUAAUGCAAUCUAAAAAGAAACUACUGAAUAUCCUUUUUUUUUUUUUAGACCAGUGGUUGGGAAGUUGCUCACCGAAGAGUGUGCAAGACAGAUACACAGUUGCACGAUAUAUAUAAUGACAGAAGUGUUACUGACUUGACUUCACAUAGACAGAUGGCAUGUUACGGAGCUUUCCCCUCCCUUUAUGUAUACGCCAGUGAGACACGCUGAAAUAAUAGCUUGAGAUGAACGAUUAGAAGGACAAGAAAAGCAUGUACUCUGAAAUUUACAAAAGAAAAUUAAUUACUAUAGUAAAAAAAAGAGUGCAAAAUGAGCAAUGAGUGCAAAAGUAUGGCAGUGAGAACCAGAAACAACCUUUGUCUUUUACACAAGCUGGUAUGUUUUGAUUAAUUUUGAUAAAAAUGUACAAUACAAUCUUAAUUUUCUGAAUUUGGAUCAUAAUUUAUUCUUAGUACAAAAACAAAACAUUUUUUAAAAAAAGCAUUCUUGCAUGUGGCUUAUAUACAAUCAGGUCAAGCAUCUGUCCAUUUAUAUAUAUUCGAUUAAAUUUUGUACAAAGACCUGGGAGGACCUUUCUGAUACAAUAUAGAAGGUGGUUAUGGCUAGGUCAGAACAUUACUAGCCUUAAGAACAGUGCUACAGAUCUUUCCAGGAUGUGUGUAAUGAGAGGAUGAAAAGGUAUGGGAAAUCCUUUUCAACCCAAUACAGUGAGAAAUCGCUGGUUAAAAGACUCCCUUGGUUAGUCUUCUUAUAUAAAACCUCUCUUUCUAAUAAAAACCUCCUGUUUAUAACCACAGUGAGAUCAAGCACAGUUUAAAUUAUUCACAUAGCCUGUCGUACAAAGAAACAAAGAGAGCCUGCCUCCAUCGAAUGGGUUAAAACAAAAGUGUGCAAAAAGCAGUGCCGCUGAAUCGAAACAUCUAAAAUAAAUUGGUUUACAUUUAGCACGAUUAAGCUCACACCUUUCCAACUCCCACCUGAGGGAGAAAGACAAAUAAGUGCUUUUUUAUGUUGUCUAAGCUUGUUAAAAAACAUUCCGUAACAGUGCCCUCGCUUAGAACGUCUAAAACGUUCUGAAUAUUGCACCAUUGAUGGGAGAAUAAAAACAUCAGGAGAUGAAGCACCGAAGCACCGAUGUAAAGCGAGUUUCAGCACCGCACUAGUGGAAAAGCUCUCUUCCACUCUCCUUUCCAUGUGGGGACUGAUUUUACUUGCUGAGUUUGGUCUGUAAAACACAUUGGUCACUCAUCCAAAGGCGAGUUACGCAAGUGUGUAUGAAAUGAAAUUCAACUGCAAGUCCAAGUGGAAAGAACAUGUUUAAAUUGAGGCUGAAUUCAUAAAGGAAAAAAAAGAUUAAUGCUUAUUUGCAGGAUCAGAAUUGCAACAAUGGCUGUUUGUUAGUAUUAAGGUCUGACCAUAAAAGGAAUUAAAAUAGCCUACAAUUCCUUUGAGUGUAUGACCAAGUGAGUUACCCUCCUCUUACAGUUUGGACACAUUUCAUGCACACAAGCUAUGCCCAACAAU
This is a long non-coding RNA of Sinocyclocheilus rhinocerous, 3345 nucleotides long. RefSeq lists it as uncharacterized. Lineage: Eukaryota; Metazoa; Chordata; Actinopteri; Cypriniformes; Cyprinidae. The transcript has 2 exons. The record is from RefSeq and is a predicted model, not a curated record.